Molecule: ribosomal RNA, 164 nt
Filed under: Dendrobium cerinum
Lineage: Eukaryota; Viridiplantae; Streptophyta; Magnoliopsida; Asparagales; Orchidaceae
Description: 5.8S ribosomal RNA
Rfam family: 5.8S ribosomal RNA
About the family: 5.8S ribosomal RNA (5.8S rRNA) is a component of the large subunit of the eukaryotic ribosome. It is transcribed by RNA polymerase I as part of the 45S precursor that also contains 18S and 28S rRNA.
Source: RNAcentral
UACACGACUCUCGGCAAUGGAUAUCUCGGCUCUCGCAUCGAUGAAGAGCGCAGCGAAAUGCGAUACGUGGUGCGAAUUGCAGAAUCCCGCGAACCAUCGAGUCUUUGAACGCAAGUUGCGCCCGAGGCCAACCGGCCAAGGGCACGUCUGCCUGGGCGUCAAUC